CUGGAAACUCCGGCCAGUUUAUUAAAGUGCCUUCCCCGCCUGUGACCAUCAGGCAAAGGGAGAAUCUUGCUGGGAAUCUCGCUUCUAGCCAAUGAGGAAUUUUCAGAAAAGCGAAAUGGAAUGCAUCAUUUUGACAUCUCUGCAGAUCUGUAUUCCGAAAGGUACUCAGAUAUCCACGAAGUCCUCCUCAUCUCACACCAUCGUUUCUCUCACUGGGCACAAUCCAGCUUUAAAGAAUUCAACACUUACUGGUCUUCAGAGGACUGUCAGCAAUGACAGCAACCAGGGAUGCUGACAUGUCUUGUUGUUUACAAAGGAUGAGCACAAGGCCUUUUGGAUAACCUGAUAAGCCCUGCAACUCCUCUCUCCCUGUUCCUCACCUCUCUGGACCAGCU
This 395-nucleotide long non-coding RNA is filed under the name Homo sapiens (human). RNAcentral describes it as "non-protein coding lnc-BMP4-2:1". The record is from RNAcentral. Lineage: Eukaryota; Metazoa; Chordata; Mammalia; Primates; Hominidae.